Molecule: ribosomal RNA, 497 nt
Filed under: uncultured bacterium
Lineage: Bacteria
Description: partial 16S ribosomal RNA
Rfam family: Bacterial small subunit ribosomal RNA
Source: RNAcentral
GAUGAACGCUGGCGGCGUGCCUAAUACGUGCAAGUCGAGCGAACGGACGAGAAGCUUGCUUCUCUGAUGUUAGCGGCGGACGGGUGAGUAACACGUGGAUAACCUACCUAUAAGACUGGGAUAACUUCGGGAAACCGGAGCUAAUACCGGAUGAUAUUUUGAACCGCAUGGUUCAAAAGUGAAAGACGGUCUUGCUGUCACUUAUAGAUGGAUCCGCGCUGCAUUAGCUAGUUGGUAAGGUAACGGCUUACCAAGGCAACGAUGCAUAGCCGACCUGAGAGGGUGAUCGGCCACACUGGAACUGAGACACGGUCCAGACUCCUACGGGAGGCGGCAGUAGGGAAUCUUCCGCAAUGGGCGAAAGCCUGACGGAGCAACGCCGCGUGAGUGAUGAAGGUCUUCGGAUCGUAAAACUCUGUUAUUAGGGAAGAACAUAUGUGUAAGUAACUGUGCACAUCUUGACGGUACCUAAUCAGAAAGCCACGGCUAACUACGUG